CCUACGGGAGGCAGCAGUAAGGAAUAUUGGUCAAUGGAGGCAACUCUGAACCAGCCAUGCCGCGUGCAGGAAGAAGGCCCUAUGGGUCGUAAACUGCUUUUGUACCAGAGAAAACCCGAGUACGUGUACUCGGUUGAUAGUAUGGUAAGAAUAAGCAUCGGCUAACUUCGUGCCAGCAGCCGCGGUAAGACGAAGGAUGCAAGCGUUAUCCGGAUUCAUUGGGUUUAAAGGGUGCGUAGGCGGACUGAUAAGUCAGUGGUGAAAUCUCUCAGCUUAACUGAGAAACUGCCAUUGAUACUGUUAGUCUAGAGUAUAGAUGACGUUGGCGGAAUAUGACAUGUAGUGGUGAAAUACUUAGAUAUGUCAUAGAACACCGAUUGCGAAGGCAGCUAACGAAACUAUAACUGACGCUGAGGCACGAAAGUGCGGGGAUCAAACAGGAUUAGAUACCCUGGUAGUCCGCACCGUAAACGAUGAUUACUCGUUGUUGGCAAUAUGACCGUCAGCGACCAAGCGAAAGCGAUAAGAAUCACCGNGGAGACGCGCGACGAGAAGUAAGUAGAGUAGAGACGAGAGAGNGCGAGGACGACGACGAGGGAGGAG
RNAcentral lists this ribosomal RNA (603 nucleotides) under uncultured bacterium. Its description in RNAcentral is "bacterial SSU rRNA". The stretch from base 1 to 534 matches the Rfam family "Bacterial small subunit ribosomal RNA", at positions 338 to 873 of the family's 1533-position model. The record is from RNAcentral.